AUACGGAGGAUGCGAGCGUUAUCCGGAUUUAUUGGGUUUAAAGGGAGCGUAGGCGGGAGCUUAAGUCAGCGGUUAAAUGGUGCGGCUCAACCGUGCCCUGCCGUUGAAACUGGGUUUCUUGAGAGUGCAAGAGGCGGAUGGAAUUCAUGGUGUAGCGGUGAAAUGCUUAGAUAUCAGGAAGAACUCCGAUUGCGAAGGCAGUCCGCUGGGGCACGUCUGACGCUGAUGCUCGAAGGUGCGGGAAUCAAACAGGAUUAGAUACCCUGGUAGUCCGCACGGUAAACGAUGAUUACCCGCUGUCGGCGGUAGACAGUCGGCGGCCAAGCGAAAGCGAUAAGUAAUCCACCUGGGGAGUACGCCGGCAACGGUGAAACUCAAAUGAAUUGACGGGG
This 392-nucleotide ribosomal RNA is filed under the name uncultured bacterium. Its description in RNAcentral is "partial 16S ribosomal RNA". It matches the Rfam family "Bacterial small subunit ribosomal RNA", at positions 523 to 918 of the family's 1533-position model. The record is from RNAcentral.